AGAUGAUCAAGAAGUGGAAACUGAGGAUCAUGAUGAAUUUGAGGAGAAUCAUACUUCACGUGGGGAUAGCAGGGGAAUAUGUGCGGUCUCAGGGGGCUCUGUGAAAAGGUUGAGACAUGGCCAGGGCCAUGAAGAUGCUUGUUUUGGGCAUUCAUCUCAGGAUGGUAACAAAGGUUCCUAUUCUCACCUGCAGAUCGGUCAGGUCGAUAUGAAUCAAAUGUCGUCUGAAAGUACGAGAGCAGCAUGGUCACAGAAGCAGUGGAUGGAAUCUCGCACAAUUCAGUUAGAAGAGCAAAAGUUACAAAUUCAACUUGAGACGUUAGAACUGGAAAAGCAGCGAUUCAAGUGGAAAAGAUUUAGCAGGAAAAGAGAUCAUGAACUAGAGAAGAUGAGGAUUGAAAAUGAAAGGAUGAAGCUUGAGAAUGAGCGA
RNAcentral lists this unclassified non-coding RNA (430 nucleotides) under Hevea brasiliensis (rubber tree). The record is from RNAcentral. Lineage: Eukaryota; Viridiplantae; Streptophyta; Magnoliopsida; Malpighiales; Euphorbiaceae.